This 138-nucleotide ribosomal RNA is filed under the name uncultured bacterium. Its description in RNAcentral is "partial 16S ribosomal RNA". It matches the Rfam family "Bacterial small subunit ribosomal RNA", at positions 354 to 509 of the family's 1533-position model. The record is from RNAcentral.
UGGGGGAAUAUUGCACAAUGGGGGAAACCCUGAUGCAGCGACGCCGCGUGAGCGAAGAAGUAUUUCGGUAUGUAAAGCUCUAUCAGCAGGGAAGAUAAUGACGGUACCUGACUAAGAAGCCCCGGCUAACUACGUGCC